This 234-nucleotide long non-coding RNA is filed under the name Gossypium barbadense (sea-island cotton). RNAcentral describes it as "long non-coding RNA (GBAR_LNC001596)". The record is from RNAcentral. Lineage: Eukaryota; Viridiplantae; Streptophyta; Magnoliopsida; Malvales; Malvaceae.
CAAAUUUGACAUACAUAACACCAAAUAUGAUCAUGAUUAGCCAUUCCAAUGGCUAAUCAUUACCAAGCAUUUCCAUACCACUCAAUAACCAUAUCAUAAGACCAUAUAUACAAAAUGAUUAUAAUGCUAUACAUGCCAUACUCAAAAUAUACAAGCCAUUAUGCCAAGAUGGUAUACGGAUAGUGUGAGCGAGCCUCCGACCGUUCCCGAUUUCCGAGCUGGCUUGUCAAAACU